CGAGAUAUUCUCUAGUUCGACGUGUGAAUAUGUAUAAACGUAAGUGAACCAAAGUUAAAUAAGUAGUUCACGAGAACAAUUUUCAAGAUUAAUCAUUUCAAGGAUAAUAUGGACGAGCUUGCGAGUGAAGCAAUUUGAAAUAUUGCGAAUUAUUUUUCAAGAUACAUCAUGAUGAUAAAGGAAUAAUAUUUUUGAAUCUUGUCUGCAAGGAUCAAGAUACACUGGUAUGAGAAAGCUCGAGGGCAAAGGCAUUAUCGAGUCGAAUGUAUACGAGAAGCGUGCACAGAAGUGCAG
Molecule: long non-coding RNA, 294 nt
Organism: Leptopilina boulardi
Lineage: Eukaryota; Metazoa; Arthropoda; Insecta; Hymenoptera; Figitidae
Exons: 3
Source: RefSeq, a predicted model, not a curated record